Pelobates cultripes (western spadefoot toad) is the source of this 428-nucleotide non-coding RNA. NCBI's taxonomy places the organism in Eukaryota, Metazoa, Chordata, Amphibia, Anura, Pelobatidae. The record is from the annotation of a GenBank genome assembly.
AUAAGACCGUCCCUCCCUCCUGGACGAAUUAAGGUUUAUUAAACAAUUAUUUAAAUUUAGGGCUUGGUAUAAAUUCUUUACAGAUCCAAUAAAAUGAUUGUCUGUUUCCCAUGAUGAAGAAGAUAAAGCCUGCUUAGAGUGAAAUAUAUUAAUAACAAAUUUUACUAUCACUGUUCUUUGGGAUCAAAUAAUAUUAAUCAGCGCAUAACCAAGUCCCAUGGAAAAAAGAAUAAUUAGGGUGCACCGAGCACUAUUGUUCUUUCUGGAUCAGUCUGAGGUUGAACGUUCUUUGCUUGGAAUAUCCAGAGUGCUUGAUGGGACAUCUUUUUAAUCUGCUUGCAUGAAUCUACAUCUGGUUCUCCUCGGUCAGAACGGCUCUUCUGGUGAUGGCAACAACGGUUGUCAGAGGGCUGUAUGGUGGAUCAAAG